GCCAGGUCAGCGGCAACCAUGCAACGAAUAGACAGCGCGCCUUCCAAGCGCUUGGCCGCAGGUUCGAGUCCUGCCGGGGGCGCCA
RNAcentral lists this transfer RNA (85 nucleotides) under Streptomyces chromofuscus. RNAcentral's name for it is "tRNA-Gly". Lineage: Bacteria; Bacillati; Actinomycetota; Actinomycetes; Kitasatosporales; Streptomycetaceae. The record is from RNAcentral.